This 495-nucleotide ribosomal RNA is filed under the name uncultured bacterium. RNAcentral's name for it is "partial 16S ribosomal RNA". It matches the Rfam family "Bacterial small subunit ribosomal RNA", at positions 29 to 506 of the family's 1533-position model. The record is from RNAcentral.
AUGAACGCUGGCGGCGUGCCUAAUACAUGCAAGUCGAGCGAACAGAUGAGGAGCUUGCUCCUCUGACGUUAGCGGCGGACGGGUGAGUAACACGUGGAUAACCUACCUAUAAGACUGGGAUAACUUCGGGAAACCGGAGCUAAUACCGGAUAAUAUAUUGAACCGCAUGGUUAGAUAGUGAAAGACGGUUUUGCUGUCACUUAUAGAUGGAUCCGCGCCGCAUUAGCUAGUUGGUAAGGUAACGGCUUACCAAGGCAACGAUGCGUAGCCGACCUGAGAGGGUGAGCGGCCACACUGGAACUGAGACACGGUCCAGACUCCUACGGGAGGCAGCAGUAGGGAAUCUUCCGCAAUGGGCGAAAGCCUGACGGAGCAACGCCGCGUGAGUGAUGAAGGUCUUCGGAUCGUAAAACUCUGUUAUUAGGGAAGAACAAAUGUGUAAGUAACUAUGCACGUCUUGACGGUACCUAAUCAGAAAGCCACGGCUAUCUACGU